CAACAGAUAAAGAGAAGAGUAUAUAAACCUCCAUGAAUGAAUCACACAGAUUAAACAGUUAUCAACAUUUUUCUCAUUAUUGUUCCAUUUAACUCCCCUAGUCUUUUUAUAUCUAACUCCCCUACUUCUUUUCUUAAAGUAUCUUAAAGGAAAUCUAGACAUCAAGUCAUUUCACUUGUCAAUAUUUUUAUAUAUAUUUGAGUAAUAGUGAAUUUAUAAUCUAGUUGUGUAACAGUAUUAAAUCUAUCCAAUACCUCCUUCAUAUUCUUAUUUCUCUGAUUAUCUCAAAAAUUUCUCUUUGUGGCUGGCUUGCGCCAAGCAACAUCCUAACUAGGUUCAUAUAUUGCAUUUGGCUGCCAUGUCUUUUAAGGUUAUUUAUUCUGUAAUGCUGUAAUGAACCCUGUCUUUUUCUUUUAUUUGCCAUUGAUUUGUGGAAUUUUUGUUUGUUUGUUUCCAUAGAAUGUUCAUAUUCUGGAUUUAACUCAUUGCUUCCUGUUGGUAUCACAUAAUGCCUUCUCCCCCCCAGUUUUUCCUAUGUGUUGGUAGUUGUAGUGAAGACUCGAUUAGAUUUGUUCCCAUUGUGGCAGGCAAGACUAUGCAACAGUUGAUGCUAUGUAUACCCUCUUGCACCAUAUCGUAAGAUAUGUAAUACUAAUUGCCUACUUUUUGUGAUGUUAAGACAGAUCAGGGGCUUUCAGUGGUUUCAACCCAAUCCCUCCAUUAUAAAGCACUUCACACAAUAUAUUUUUCAUCUGAUAUAUUAAUACUCAUUGAUUUCAUCAAUUUCCAGAUUCACUACUUCAUUAGAGGUUGCAAAAUGUCAUCUUUCUGAUUUUAUCAUGCCUUCUGCGUUUAUUAAUUGGGAUUCCUCUACAAAGAAGAACUUUUCGUCAUUUACCUUUCAGGAACCACUGCAGAAGCAUACCAGGAAAACAGAAAGAAAUCACAGAUUUUUUGAAAAAAGCAGCAGGCCUCUGCAAAUUCCACAAGACAGAUGAAGAACUCUAAUCACAAAAGACAUAAACUCUUGAGAGCUUUAUGACCCCAG
This 1048-nucleotide long non-coding RNA is filed under the name Papio anubis (olive baboon). RNAcentral describes it as "lncRNA (ENSPANG00000042823.1)". The record is from RNAcentral. Lineage: Eukaryota; Metazoa; Chordata; Mammalia; Primates; Cercopithecidae.